AUGAGUGUCUUCAGGCUGCCGGCAUCCGUUUGUGAUGACUUGACAAGGAUGAUGAGGCGGUACUGGUGGGGGGAGAAUGGUAAGAGGAAAAUGGCCUGGCUUAGUUGGAAGAAGAUGGUGGUACCCAAGUCUAUGGGGGGGCAUGGGUUCCCAUGACAUAGAGCAUUGAACCAGGCCCUGCUAGCUAAGCAGGCUUAGCGAUUAUUGAAUUGCCCAGAUAACCUGUGUGCUAGACUUCUUAGAGCUAAAUAUUACUCCCAUGGAAAUAUGUUGGAUAUGGUGUUUCUAUACAGCUCGUCCGCAGUAUGGAAGGGGAUUGUACAUGGUCUUGAGUCGGUGAAGAAAGGCAUUAUUUGGCGUGUGGGCGAUGGGACACUGAUUAGAACUUGGUGAGAUGCGUGGAUCCUGAGGGGUCAUAAUCUUCGGCCAAUCACACCAAAACACAACUGCAGAAUUAAUUGGGUGGUGGAUUUCUUGACUGGACAAGGUGCUUGGAAUGAACAAAGGCUGCGAGAGCAUUUUUGGGACAUGGACGUAUGGGAGAUUCUUAAGAUCCGUACCUCGCCGAGGAAUGGCCAAGACUUCAUUGCCUGGUUUCUGGAAAGGAGCGGACAAUUUACUGUGAGGAGUGCUUACAGGCUUGCUACUUUGAGCAUCGCCCCAGGUAUGACACCCGCGACCAGCAGCAACCCAUCUGGGGAAAGGCCGGUUUGGCAGUGCAUAUGAGCAGCCAAGGUACCCCUCAAGAUGAGGAUCUUGACAUGGAAGGUAGUCUCAGGGGCAUUAGCAACUAACUCAUGCAAAAAGUAUCGUCAUAUCUCUACAAGAGACACCUGCCCCAUGUGCGCGAAGGAAAAGGAGUGCAUUUUCCAUGCCCUAGUUACACGUGAUCACGCGCAAGAAGUGUGGCAAUAGAUGCGCAUGGUGUGGUGCUUGCCGCGCCAUGAACUGCUGCAGGAUACAGGGUAGGACUGACUAUUAAAUGUGUUGACAAAUUGUGAUGAGUUUAUGAGGGUGUGUGUGAUCAUGCUGAUUCGGCGUAUUUAUUCUCUCCGGUCAGCUUUCACACAUGGCAAGGAAGUGCCUUCGGUGGCUACAACAGUAUCAUAUUUGCAGAGUUAUAUGCAGUCCUUAGAUCUCUCCAGGAAAUAUUCUACAGAGGAGAUUAUCAAAUGA
Molecule: ribosomal RNA, 1176 nt
Filed under: Triticum aestivum (bread wheat)
Lineage: Eukaryota; Viridiplantae; Streptophyta; Magnoliopsida; Poales; Poaceae
Description: partial small subunit ribosomal RNA
Source: RNAcentral